CCUCUUGGACUCCGUUCUAACUCUGGCACUAAGGAAGUAUUUGUUACAUGCUGCUGCAGAGCAGAGCAGAGCAGAGCGUGGGAGCCACUUCACAAACAGACUCACGGCAGCUCUAGCCAAGAAGCCUAGACCUGAGCCUGCUCAUUCAGGUUCAAGGCCAUGUGCAUAUGUGUGAUCUGCUACUCCAUGUCUCCUAAGCAGAAGAUGUGCCUUGGCAUAUAAAGCUGGAGGCUUACUGUACCAUGGAGGAAGCACCAGGAACGAAAAUGGGAUGGACUGGGGCAUGGAGAAUUGCAAAUGUCACAGCAGCCUCCACCGACACACUUGGACUUCGGAGAUUAGCAAACAAACAAAUGAAAAAAAUC
Molecule: long non-coding RNA, 365 nt
Organism: Mastomys coucha (southern multimammate mouse)
Lineage: Eukaryota; Metazoa; Chordata; Mammalia; Rodentia; Muridae
Exons: 3
Source: RefSeq, a predicted model, not a curated record